UCUGGUUCUACAAAGUGAAUCAUUCCCAUUAUCUUAAAACUGUAUUUUAAAGCUUGACCGACUCAUAUACAUUAUAGUCAUUGUCAUUUCAGACAGUGAAGGGCUCCCAUCUGGUCAGUGCUCAUGGGUUGCAGAGAAGAAGCAGCACAUGCUUGAUUCCCAAACUGGGAUCCAAGAGCAAACAGAAGUCCAAUCUAAAGGAAAAGCAAAUGAAAAAUCAGAAGCUAAAUGUUUGCUUAGGUCCUGGCUUCCCUCGCAGAACAAACCUGCAAGAAGUCUGCUGUCAAGAGAAGUCAUUUCAUACCUUGUACACAUUGUCCUGUGGGUUGCCCGCUCCUUUCUGGUUGCCAAACACACCCUUCUUCGGCCUGUAACACCCAGAUCAAAGGCCACUCACCUUGGCACCCCCCUCCUUGCACCCGUUGCUUAAUCAUCUUAGAACCCUUCUCUCUCUGUUUUAACUGUUUGCACAUCAGAUUCUCCCAAUGGCUCAGAAUUCUUUCAGAACAGAGGCUGUGUCUUUUGUCCCUGUGUGAAAGGGACACAUUGACUCUCACUCACAGUGACAUCCCAGGAGCCCAGUGUAUAAGACAGCAGUUUUGAAACUUUUUG
RNAcentral lists this long non-coding RNA (612 nucleotides) under Fukomys damarensis (Damara mole-rat). Its description in RNAcentral is "lncRNA (ENSFDAG00000032961.1)". The record is from RNAcentral. Lineage: Eukaryota; Metazoa; Chordata; Mammalia; Rodentia; Bathyergidae.